CUCUAAUAUUAGUUCAGAUUAUAUAUUUUAAGGAAUAUAUACAGUAGCAUAUUAGAUAUUAAAGAGAAUUAUUCCUUCCUAAUUUAGGUAAAAAUGUAUCAUUUAGAUUAUGUAUUAGUAAACUUAGUUGAAUAUACGUAAUCUAA
Molecule: non-coding RNA, 146 nt
Submitted as: unclassified sequences
Source: Rfam